GUCUAAGGGGGCGUUUUUCCUACCUGCUCCGUGGUGGUCCUGAGGACACUUCUUGGCUGGUGGUUCUAUGCCGAGCCUUGCACACACCACCUCAUCAAUCUGCCUGGGAGCCCACGAGAGGGGUUCGCCUUCUCACUUCAUAGCCAAGACAGCUGGGGCUCAGUCAGGAGACAGGGCCUGGUUGUCAGAGGGGGCCUGGCAGCCUUUGGGUCGCACCUGGGGUCCACACUUCCGAGCACAGCUCACCGUUUGCCAAUUGAACAUACUCCCUGGCCUCAUCUCUUCUUCCCCUGUAUUUACUCACCCCUCGGAUGACGGUUUGUUGGCUAUUUUUUUUUUCUUUAAAUAAGCUUGUGUUUGCCCUCGCCAAGCCAUUCCUAUUGAAAAGAAAACCCCAUCACCAGGGCAAACAGGAAGCCAGCGGCCUGUAGCUCUGAGGUAACCAUAGAAAUGAAAACAGUUGGCCUGAACAGAGGGGCUGCGCCUGCAUGAAGCCGGGGCCUGUCCUUCCCUCUUUAAGAGGGUGAGGAGCUUGGCUUGAAGGGUAUGAAAUGUACUUUAGUAUCAAACUGAGGCAUUUCCUUUGAGGCAAAAGGAAGAAUUAGAGGAGAGUCACGUGGUGCUCAUGGGCUCUAUCAGCAGGGACUGCUGGCCAGCUCAGUGACAAAGAGGCAACGUGACUGUGACUGCAGCCUCUGUCCCCUGGGAAGGGCCCCGAUUGGAUUUCAGAGCCCUUGUCAGCCUGAAGAAGUGCAGCGCCACUCAGCCCUGAGGUCUCCUUACAUCCAUGCCUGCUGCCCUGACUGGACCCAUCGACUUCCUGUCUCUCCGCUCCUUUCCUGGUGUCAGCAAUUUGCAUAUUUCAAGCCCACAACAGAAAGGCUCCUAGGGCCCAAGGAGGGAGAGCCCACCAUUUGCCUCGAGUCAGCAAGAAGAAAAGACAGUGUUACCACACUGAGGACUGUCCACCCCGGGAUGCCGAGAACAAGAGGAUGGCCCUCCCUGCCACAAACUGACCGUGUGUUGGGGGCAAGCACAGAAAUGCCUGACAACAUGGCAGCCCAAUCAGAGUUGGAGGUGUGGUCAGUGGUGGGUUAAAGAAAGUCACCUGGGGUGGUGUGUGUGUGUGUGUGUGUGUGUUAUGCGUGUUCACGUGUAUAUGCACAUGUGUGUUGGGAUACAUGCAUAUGUGGAGGUCGGAGCUUAAAAUGAGGUGUGUUCCUUUUGCUCUUCACCUUAGAUUUUGAGGCAGGGUCUCUCACUGAACCUGGCGCUCAUAGAUUCCUUUAGACUAGCUGGCGAGCAGGCCCCAGGGGUCCUCUUCUCUCUGGCUCUCUGGUGCUGGGAUUAUUGGCAUAUGCUACCAUGCUGUGGAAAAAAUCUUUGUACACUGUAAAUAUAUAUUACUCUCAUUGGCUAAUAAAGAGCUGACAGGCCUAUAGCUAUGCAGGAAGAGACUGGGAGGGAGAGCCAGACUAGGGGGAUGCUGGGAAGAAGGAGGGUGGAGUCUGAGGAGACACCAUGAGACAGAGCAAGCAGGAUGGGAAGCACAUAGAUGAAUAGA
Peromyscus maniculatus bairdii (prairie deer mouse) is the source of this 1564-nucleotide non-coding RNA. The record is from RefSeq and is a predicted model, not a curated record. Lineage: Eukaryota; Metazoa; Chordata; Mammalia; Rodentia; Cricetidae.